AUGAUUGCUGUUCAUGAAUUGCCAUUCUCGUUUGUGGAAUACGAGGGAUUUAGAAGAUUUGUGUACAGUCUGAAUCCCACAUUUGAGGUGGUGUCUAGGACGACAAUAAGAGUUGAUUGCCUCAUGCUAUUUCAUGAACAAAGGGAAAAGUUUCGAGAGGCUAUACAGAACUUAACCUCUCGUGUCUCUUUAACCGCCGACAUGUGGACUUCAAGUCAAGCCGUGAGCUAUAUGUGUAUAACAUGCCAUUUUGUUAGUACGACGAAGUGGAAAUUGCAGAAAAAAGUGAUUUGGUUUUGCAAGGCAGAAACACCACAUAAUGGACCAAAUUUAUUUAAUAUCAUGUUAGAAUGCAUGCAAUAUUGGGGUUUGCCAAAGAAGAUUUUCUCCAUCACGCUAGACAAUGCAUCAAAUAACAACUCGUGUGUGAAGUACAUCAAAUCCAAUCUGUUAGGAAAGAAUUUCCUACCUUGUAAAGGAGAUCUUUUACAUGGUCAAUGUGCAGCUCAUGUGAUCAACCUUAUUGUCCAAGAUGGGUUGGAGAUUACAUGCAAAGCAGUGGAUAAUAUCAGGGAAAGCAUCAGGUUUGUUAGAAGCUCCCCCACUCGGAAACAGAAAUUUUAA
RNAcentral lists this ribosomal RNA (624 nucleotides) under Triticum aestivum (bread wheat). RNAcentral describes it as "partial small subunit ribosomal RNA". The record is from RNAcentral. Lineage: Eukaryota; Viridiplantae; Streptophyta; Magnoliopsida; Poales; Poaceae.